Molecule: ribosomal RNA, 1373 nt
Filed under: uncultured bacterium
Lineage: Bacteria
Description: bacterial SSU rRNA
Rfam family: Bacterial small subunit ribosomal RNA
Source: RNAcentral
GAUGAACGCUGGCGGCGUGCCUAAUACAUGCAAGUCGAGCGAACGGACGAGAAGCUUGCUUCUCUGAUGUUAGCGGCGGACGGGUGAGUAACACGUGGAUAACCUACCUAUAAGACUGGGAUAACUUCGGGAAACCGGAGCUAAUACCGGAUAAUAUUUUGAACCGCAUGGUUCAAAAGUGAAAGACGGUCUUGCUGUCACUUAUAGAUGGAUCCGCGCUGCAUUAGCUAGUUGGUAAGGUAACGGCUUACCAAGGCAACGAUGCAUAGCCGACCUGAGAGGGUGAUCGGCCACACUGGAACUGAGACACGGUCCAGACUCCUACGGGAGGCAGCAGUAGGGAAUCUUCCGCAAUGGGCGAAAGCCUGACGGAGCAACGCCGCGUGAGUGAUGAAGGUCUUCGGAUCGUAAAACUCUGUUAUUAGGGAAGAACAUAUGUGUAAGUAACUGUGCACAUCUUGACGGUACCUAAUCAGAAAGCCACGGCUAACUACGUGCCAGCAGCCGCGGUAAUACGUAGGUGGCAAGCGUUAUCCGGAAUUAUUGGGCGUAAAGCGCGCGUAGGCGGUUUUUUUAAGUCUGAUGUGAAAGCCCACGGCUCAACCGUGGAGGGUCAUUGGAAACUGGAAAACUUGAGUGCAGAAGAGGAAAGUGGAAUUCCAUGUGUAGCGGUGGAAUGCGCAGAGAUAUGGAGGAACACCAGUGGCGAAGGCGACUUUCUGGUCUGUAACUGACGCUGAUGUGCGAAAGCGUGGGGAUCAAACAGGAUUAGAUACCCUGGUAGUCCACGCCGUAAACGAUGAGUGCUAAGUGUUAGGGGGUUUCCGCCCCUUAGUGCUGCAGCUAACGCAUUAAGCACUCCGCCUGGGGAGUACGACCGCAAGGUUGAAACUCAAAGGAAUUGACGGGGACCCGCACAAGCGGUGGAGCAUGUGGUUUAAUUCGAAGCAACGCGAAGAACCUUACCAAAUCUUGACAUCCUUUGACAACUCUAGAGAUAGAGCUUUCCCCUUCGGGGGACAAAGUGACAGGUGGUGCAUGGUUGUCGUCAGCUCGUGUCGUGAGAUGUUGGGUUAAGUCCCGCAACGAGCGCAACCCUUAAGCUUAGUUGCCAUCAUUAAGUUGGGCACUCUAAGUUGACUGCCGGUGACAAACCGGAGGAAGGUGGGGAUGACGUCAAAUCAUCAUGCCCCUUAUGAUUUGGGCUACACACGUGCUACAAUGGACAAUACAAAGGGCAGCGAAACCGCGAGGUCAAGCAAAUCCCAUAAAGUUGUUCUCAGUUCGGAUUGUAGUCUGCAACUCGACUACAUGAAGCUGGAAUCGCUAGUAAUCGUAGAUCAGCAUGCUACGGUGAAUACGUUCCCGGGUCU